This is a long non-coding RNA of Hemibagrus wyckioides, 1689 nucleotides long. RefSeq lists it as uncharacterized. The transcript has 2 exons. NCBI's taxonomy places the organism in Eukaryota, Metazoa, Chordata, Actinopteri, Siluriformes, Bagridae. The record is from RefSeq and is a predicted model, not a curated record.
GGCAAAACCAAGCAAGAAACAAACUUUACGGAAAAUGAAUUGGAGGUGCUACUAUCAGAGGUAGAAAAAAAAUCUUAUUUGGAACGUUGUCCUCUGGAAUUAAUAACAAAAGAAAAAAAAUUGAGUGGGAGAGUUUGGCUGAUGUGGUCAACGCAGUGGGAUCUGAAAAUCGCACUGUACCCGAGCUUGAAAAGAAAUGGUCUGACAUAAAGGUGGAAGUUAAGCCGAGAACUGCUGCGCACAGACAAAGUGUGGACAGAGCAGGCGGUGGUACAGGGGUCGAUGAACUUACACCUUUUGAGCAAAGAGUUGCCUCUAUUGUGGGCGACAGUUUACUCUCUGGAAUAGUAUCCGCUGCUGUGGGAGACUCGGAUUUACUACAUCAAUGCCCCGAAGAUCUUUUCCCAGCACUUUCCGGAGGCAAAAAAAUAAUGAACACUGCUUACAGCACACCAGGAAAGAAGACAAAUGUUUGGAAAUCAUUUGUUUUCAACAUCUAUUUGCUUGAUUCUGAAAUUGUGACACUUCCCCUUCACCUGCAGAUGAACUAAUAUUUGUCCAAGCAGGACUUGGAAAAAGAACCAAGACAAAGUUUAUUGGGCAUGAAUCAUUCAGAGAUAAAGGUUAUGGGACAUCAAAACAUGUUUAAUCAAAGUGAAAGAUAUUUAAUUCAGUGGUCACUGGGACAUUUAGAUCCAACAACAACCACUGAAUAUUACAAUUCAUAUGCCCAGAUCAAGAAUGGUAAAGCAUCUGGGAAGACAGUGUGGUAUAUUGUUCCUUCACAAGAAAAACUUGCCCUCAGUACUCUCCCUGCAGAUGCCAGAGAUUAAAUAAUGAAAACAAUGCCCAAGGCAACAUGUCAGAUGUGCCAUUGCAGGUGCUGCCUCUCCACAUCCAGAGUUACAAAGACCCAGAAAACUCAAAGAAUAAAUCAGCUUUAUUUGAAGAGGUAAUAGAUUAAUGUUAUUCAUCAGCUGAGAUGUGCUCUUUCUACCUCUCUCCAUGUUUUCAGAAAUAGAUGAGCAGCAUAACAAGUUUUUCUUGGACGAGUAUAUGACCAAUUUACUAGUCCAAAGCACAAGCACAUAAAAUUGCCUAAUGUUUAGCCCUGAAAUGUAUCCAAAAAUUAUGCUUCACUGAAUCAGACAGAAAUUCAGUUCAUCUCAGAAAAACAGUGCAUGAUACAACCUGAAACAUGUCAAUUUGAAGCAAGGUUGCUAAAAAAAAACGUCAGUUUUAUCAUAGCAUGUAUCAAAGAAUAUGGACAACUGUUUCCAAGUCUGUGUUUCACUGAAAAACGUUCUUGAAAGGGAGCUCAAGCAGUGGCAGAUACAAAAGAAAAGGAAUCCCAUUAACCAACUAAAGGUUACAUUUAUCAGUGAGGCUGGAGUCAACUCUGGUGAGCUGCCCAAACAGUGACCUUGACAAUGGUCAUUUCUGAUCUGUGAUGUUCUACUAUGAUUAUUUCAAGUGAAUUUGUAAUGGACAUUGAGAUGGUUCAUUACAUUACUAAUAAUAGAACAUCUGGAGAAAACAUUGCAGUCAGUUUAGCUCAAGGUGGAGCUCUUGUAUCUCACCACUGGACAAACUGAUGUACUCAAGAUAUCCAAGGAUGAUGUAGAUGACAUUGAGUUCUGUCUGCUGAUUUCAAGGAUAAAUAAAGUUAAUGGAUUCUUUGGCGUGAAA